GACGAACGCUGGCGGCGUGCUUAACACGUGCAAGUCGAACGGAAAGGCCCUGCUUUUGUGGGGUGCUCGAGUGGCGAACGGGAGAGUAACACGUGAGUAACCUGCCCUUGACUUUGGGAUAACUUCAGGAAACUGGGGCUAAUACCGGAUAGGAGCUCCUGCUGCAUGGUGGGGGUUGGAAAGUUUCGGCGGUUGGGGAUGGACUCGCGGCUUAUCAGCUUGUUGGUGGGGUAGUGGCUUACCAAGGCUUUGACGGGUAGCCGGCCUGGGAGGGUGACCGGCCACAUUGGGACUGCGGUACGGCCCAGUCUCCUACGGGAGGCAGCAGUGGGGAAUAUUGCACAAUGGGCGGAAGCCUGAUGCAGCAACGCCGCGUGCGGGAUGACGGCCUUCGGGUUGUGAACCGCUUUCGCCUGUGACGAAGCGUGAGUGACGGUAAUGGGUAAAGAAGCACCGGCUAACUACGUG
RNAcentral lists this ribosomal RNA (468 nucleotides) under uncultured bacterium. RNAcentral's name for it is "partial 16S ribosomal RNA". It matches the Rfam family "Bacterial small subunit ribosomal RNA", at positions 28 to 507 of the family's 1533-position model. The record is from RNAcentral.